UACGAAGGUGGCAAGCGUUACUCGGAAUGACUAGGCGUAAAGGGCAGGUAGGCGGUUCGGCAAGUCUGUUGUGAAAGCUCCCGGCUUAACUGGGAGAGGCCAACAGAUACUGUCGGGCUUGAGUGCAGGAGAGGUUACUGGAAUUCCCGGUGUAGCGGUGAAAUGCGCAGAUAUCGGGAGGAACACCAAUGGCGAAAGCAAGUAACUGGACUGCUACUGACGCUCAGCUGCGAAAGCUAGGGGAGCAAACAGG
Molecule: unclassified non-coding RNA, 253 nt
Filed under: uncultured Elusimicrobia bacterium
Lineage: Bacteria; Pseudomonadati; Elusimicrobiota; Elusimicrobia
Description: contains 16S-23S intergenic spacer region
Rfam family: Bacterial small subunit ribosomal RNA
Source: RNAcentral